RNAcentral lists this ribosomal RNA (762 nucleotides) under uncultured Streptococcus sp. RNAcentral's name for it is "bacterial SSU rRNA". It matches the Rfam family "Bacterial small subunit ribosomal RNA", at positions 28 to 776 of the family's 1533-position model. The record is from RNAcentral. Lineage: Bacteria; Bacillati; Bacillota; Bacilli; Lactobacillales; Streptococcaceae.
GACGAACGCUGGCGGCGUGCCUAAUACAUGCAAGUAGAACGCUGAAGGAGGAGCUUGCUUCUCUGGAUGAGUUGCGAACGGGUGAGUAACGCGUAGGUAACCUGCCUGGUAGCGGGGGAUAACUAUUGGAAACGAUAGCUAAUACCGCAUAAGAGUAGAUGUUGCAUGACAUUUGCUUAAAAGGUGCAAUUGCAUCACUACCAGAUGGACCUGCGUUGUAUUAGCUAGUUGGUGGGGUAACGGCUCACCAAGGCGACGAUACAUAGCCGACCUGAGAGGGUGAUCGGCCACACUGGGACUGAGACACGGCCCAGACUCCUACGGGAGGCAGCAGUAGGGAAUCUUCGGCAAUGGACGGAAGUCUGACCGAGCAACGCCGCGUGAGUGAAGAAGGUUUUCGGAUCGUAAAGCUCUGUUGUAAGAGAAGAACGAGUGUGAGAGUGGAAAGUUCACACUGUGACGGUAUCUUACCAGAAAGGGACGGCUAACUACGUGCCAGCAGCCGCGGUAAUACGUAGGUCCCGAGCGUUGUCCGGAUUUAUUGGGCGUAAAGCGAGCGCAGGCGGUUAGAUAAGUCUGAAGUUAAAGGCUGUGGCUUAACCAUAGUACGCUUUGGAAACUGUUUAACUUGAGUGCAAGAGGGGAGAGUGGAAUUCCAUGUGUAGCGGUGAAAUGCGUAGAUAUAUGGAGGAACACCGGUGGCGAAAGCGGCUCUCUGGCUUGUAACUGACGCUGAGGCUCGAAAGCGUGGGAGCAAACAUG